Molecule: ribosomal RNA, 206 nt
Filed under: uncultured Bacillus sp.
Lineage: Bacteria; Bacillati; Bacillota; Bacilli; Caryophanales; Bacillaceae
Description: partial 16S ribosomal RNA
Rfam family: Bacterial small subunit ribosomal RNA
Source: RNAcentral
UGACGUCAAAUCAUCAUGCCCCUUAUGUUCUGGGCUACACACGUGCUACAAUGGCCGGUACAGACGGACGCAAAGCCGCGAGGUGGAGCAAAUCCUAAAAAGCCGGUCUCAGUUCGGAUUGCAGGCUGCAAUUCGCCUGCAUGAAGUCGGAAUCGCUAGUAAUCGCAGGUCAGCAUACUGCGGUGAAUUACCGGUUCCCGGGCCUU